UAAUAAGUGUUUUAUGGCACUUUUUUAAAUCCAUAUCCACCUUGUGUGCAAUGUCAGUCGUUCUCAUUCAUGGGAGCGACCAAACAUCAACUUAUUCUUUAACUCUUUGUCUGAAAAAUAUUAUGAAUAAAGUAAUUCAAAAUA
RNAcentral lists this unclassified non-coding RNA (144 nucleotides) under uncultured Mortierella. RNAcentral describes it as "sequence contains ITS1". The record is from RNAcentral. Lineage: Eukaryota; Fungi; Mortierellomycota; Mortierellomycetes; Mortierellales; Mortierellaceae.